GUCUAGGGGGCUUCCGAGGCGAUUGGGCAGUGUCAGUCUUCAGCCGCUAAGCCGAGAAGAUCUGGGAAGGAGUCAGUCAGAGAGCCUUGGGCCAGAGUUCCAGGGGCUCUGGGAGUGGCUGCUAGGCAUGUGGAAAAUCAACCGGAACUUCAGCUGGUAGCUUAAUGAGAUAAUUUUGAGACCUGUUUCUCCUAGACUGUAAGAGGUAGAUGAAAUCCUCCACCACAUCAGAGGACACCUCUCAGAGUAUGGAAUAUGGUACAUCCUCCAGAAUCAGCUGGGAACAAUGACUGCCAAAAGUGUCCAGAGGAAGUCUGCAGGAGCUGGGUCUCUCCUAGGUGGAAUAUUCUUUGAAAUCAGAACGAAAGUAACUUGGGUCUGGCCUUGAUGAGGCUCCUGAAUUUUCCUGCUUGUGAUAACGGUGGCGUUCUGAAGACUGGCAAGUACCUUUCUUGUUUCUCUGCAGCUAUCCUGAAAAUGUGACUUGCGUGCAUUUGGGAGAAAGGUUUGCUGCCUGGGACAGUGCAACACAAGUUUAGAAGGCAGACUUGAAUCUGUCUGCACAUUUGGUCAGGUGCUGAUCUUCAUGCUACCAUUGCUCCAGCCAGUGGGUCAUGACUCUAGUGAAUGAAGAAUCCCAGACAAUGGAAGCUGCCCAUGGCUUGGAACCUGCUUCCAUGAAAGCCUGCGCCACCCUAGCCCAGUUCUGGCUGAGCUGUAUUAUUGGGUCAGCCUUCUAAGACCUUCCCUGCCUUAGUUCUUCCCUUUUAGGUCAGACUUAA
This 782-nucleotide long non-coding RNA is filed under the name Pan troglodytes (chimpanzee). RNAcentral describes it as "lincRNA". Lineage: Eukaryota; Metazoa; Chordata; Mammalia; Primates; Hominidae. The record is from RNAcentral.